GUCGUUAUGAUCGUCGUCUUAUCAGCAGCUCUGCUGAUUUUCUACAUGAAGAGCAGGACCACUAAACCCAGAGGACCUCCUGUGGAAACAGACACAGAGGUCAACAGGUUGUAUGAAGAGAUCAGAGAGUGUGACAUAGCGAGCAGGUCACCUCCUGUAGAAGUGUCUUCAGUUUAUGAUCACCCCAAA
Molecule: long non-coding RNA, 189 nt
Organism: Pelmatolapia mariae (spotted tilapia)
Lineage: Eukaryota; Metazoa; Chordata; Actinopteri; Cichliformes; Cichlidae
Exons: 3
Source: RefSeq, a predicted model, not a curated record